GAUGAAGAACGUAGCGAAAUGCGAUAAGUAAUGUGAAUUGCAGAAUUCAGUGAAUCAUCGAAUCUUUGAACGCACAUUGCGCCCGCCAGUAUUCUGGCGGGCAUGCCUGUCCGAGCGUCAUUUCAACCAUCAAGCCCCCGGGCUUGUGUUGGGGACCUGCGGCUGCCCGCAGGCCCUGAAAACCAGUGGCGGGCUCGCUGCCACACCGAGCGUAGUAGCAAUCACCUCGCUCAGGGCGUGCUGCGGGUUCCGGCCGUUAAACAGCCUUACAAAACCCAAGGUUGACCUCGGAUCAGGUAGGAAGACCCGCUGAACUUAAGCAUAUCAAUAAGCGGAGGA
This 339-nucleotide unclassified non-coding RNA is filed under the name soil metagenome. RNAcentral's name for it is "partial contains 5.8S ribosomal RNA, internal transcribed spacer 2, and large subunit ribosomal RNA". The stretch from base 1 to 120 matches the Rfam family "5.8S ribosomal RNA", at positions 35 to 154 of the family's 154-position model. The record is from RNAcentral.